Molecule: long non-coding RNA, 2774 nt
Organism: Danio rerio (zebrafish)
Lineage: Eukaryota; Metazoa; Chordata; Actinopteri; Cypriniformes; Danionidae
Source: Ensembl
UCGAAACACUUUAGUCACGUGACUUGGGUGCUUCGGAUCAUGCUUCGGUGCAGUGAUUCGAAACACUUGCGCUUCGGGAUCUCGACACUGUGUCAAAACAUCAGUUUCACGUCAGCCAUCCCUAGUUAAGAGCAGGCCAACGACGUUUCUGCUAAAUCAUAGGACUGAAAUAUUGACAAUGACAUAAUUCAAUGCAAGAUUUCCUUGAGGAGGUGAGACUUGUUAUCAUCAGUGAAAUUUGACGGUCAUUCACCAGCAGAUGCAAGAAACCUUUUCUCUUUGCCCAAAAGAAGUUGUUGAGAUUUAGCCAGGAAGAAAUUAGAGAGAGAUAACCUGGACUUUAAGGAAGAGAUCUGCACAGAGUUUUCUCAGAUCUGUAAUGUAGAUCUCCUGAGACAGUUAAUCGAGUGACUUGAUAAAUAUACAGCACCUCUCCUGAAACUCUACAGAAAAGAAGGGAUUCAAUGGGUCCAGAGAUGGAUACAACUUUAAACAAGAUGGAUGAGCAGGUCACUGAUAUUGUCACCGAUCGAGAAAGAGCAGCUCUUGAGGGAUUGCCAAUUUUUCUUCGUAAAAAUUCUGCUUGCUUUCUCAAGAUAUGUCUGGACACGGACCCUGAAGACCACAGCACCAGAGAUUAAAGGAUUGGAAUCUUCACUGUGGUGGAAGAUGAUAAUGGCACUUCUGCAUCCCUGCAAUAUGUGAUGAACCUCGCUAAAAUCUUGGAGGAGGCCAUAGUACUUCAGGAUAUCACACAUCUGCCUGCAGCCUUCGCUUACUUGUUCAGCCUCUUGUAUAGACUGAAUAUGGAACACCCAAAAGAACUCAAAUAUACUUUUUAAGUGAUUCAGCAUGUUUUAUGGAGGUUGGUGGCACAUGAUCUGCGAGAGUUCAGUUCAUUCAUUCAUUCAUUUUCUUUUCGGCUUAGUCCCUUUAUUAAUCUAGGGUCGCCACAGCGCAAUGAACUUGUUUUACGCAGCGUAUGCCCUUCCGGCUGCAACCCAUCUCUGGAAAACAUCCAUACACACUCAUUCACACAUACACUACGGACAAUUUUAGCCUACCCAAUUCACCUGUGCCACACGUCUUUGGACUGUGGGGGAAACCGGAGAACCCAAAGGAAACCCACGUGAACGCAGGGAGAACAUUCAAACUCCACACAGUAACGGCAACUGACCCGUGACCACUUCCUAAUGUGCCACUGUUUCAAUGUUUUGAGGUCUGUUUUUGGACUUUAUGUACUUUGUUGACAAAAGUGCAGUACACUUUAAAGACUGUUUGAAUGGAGUGGCUUUUAGGGUUUACUCUGAUUAGAUGAUUGUAUAUUCACCUGGUUUGAGUGUUUAGACACACUAAUAGCUUGGUUUUAGUAAGGUUGCCAGUUAUUUUAUGUUGAGGCAGUGUACAAUCUUUUCAAAUCUGGAAACAUUCAGUACUAGUUGUGUACAAACUAGCCCAAUGCUGAACACGGCUAAUGUCAAAUGCUGAUUUUGUAUGCAAAUGUUUUGGAUUGUGAUUUAAACACAGUUAAAAAUAAAAAAAAGUGAAUUGACUAUUCUUGUGUAUUUAAUUUGAAUCCUAAAAAUUAAUAGUAAAUGCAUAAUGAAUCAGUUUGUUUUAUUUUGUUCAGUAAACUAAAAAAAUCUUGUUGGGUAAACAUAAUCAUUUUUGUUCAGUAAACAAAAGAUCUUGUUGAAUAAACGUGAAAAUUUUUGUUCAGCAAACAAAAGAUCUUGUUGAGUAAACAUGAUAAUAUUUGUUCAGCAAACAAAAAUAUCUUGUUGGGUGAACAUGACAUUUUUUGUUCAGCAAACAAAAAUAUCCUGUUGGUUGAACAUGAUAUUUUUUGUUCAGCAAACAAAAAUGUCUUGUUGAAUGAACAUGAUAUUUUUGGUUCAGCAAACAAAAAUAUCCUGUUGGUUGAACAUGAUAUUUUUUGUUCAGCAAACAAAAAUAUCUUGUUGGGUGAACAUGAUACUUUUUGUUCAGAGAACUAAAGAAUUCAACAAAAUAUUUUGAGUUCACUGGUCUUCAAACCCUGUUUGUUGAGUUAACUCAAAAAGCUAUGUGUGAUAGGUUGCCUAAUUAUUUUAAGUUUACUCAACUUUUUUUUUUUACAGUGUAUAUAUAUUAAAUGUACUAACAUACCUGAAUGAUGCAGCUGAAAUAGUGGACUUCUCCUUUCGAAAAAUUAACCUUCUCUCGAGGCUCUUCACCACUGGUCCAUGACGAUGUCCUUGUCAAUGACUGACGUCACCAGAGGGCUUUUUUAUGAUUAUUAGUUUCAAAUAAAUUAUUAAACCAUAACAACAUGUUAUUGCACAGUCUAAAUAAAUUAGUCAUUUUAUUUAUUUCACAAAAUAAUUUGUCAAAAAUGUUAAACAUAAACUAGGCCUAUAAGUUAUAUGCUAUUGUACAAACCUGCAAAAAAAAAUCCCAUCAUAAUGUACACUGAUUAAGUUUUUGACCACAGCAUUCAUUUUAUUAGGUUUUGACUCAAAAAGCUUUGUCUCUCUGUGUUAUAACUUAUAAUUAUUUUAUAAUCUUUACUAGAUAAUUAUGUUAUGAUUCAAAAAUUAUAGAACCAUUUUAAUCAAAAAGGUUCUUUGCAGUCAAAGGGUUCUAAAUGGAACCAUUUUUUGGGUAAAAGGUUCUACUGGCCAAGUAUAGAACCCCAAGGUUCUAUAUAGAACCUCAAGGAACCUUUUUUUUAAGAGUGUAGUAUAACAGACUAUUUUGUUCAUGAAUUUUUAUUUUAGUGGUGGUUCCAUUUG